This 1129-nucleotide ribosomal RNA is filed under the name Acinetobacter sp. CIP 101934. Its description in RNAcentral is "bacterial SSU rRNA". It matches the Rfam family "Bacterial small subunit ribosomal RNA", at positions 408 to 1528 of the family's 1533-position model. Lineage: Bacteria; Pseudomonadati; Pseudomonadota; Gammaproteobacteria; Moraxellales; Moraxellaceae. The record is from RNAcentral.
AAGAAGGCCUUUUGGUUGUAAAGCACUUUAAGCGAGGAGGAGGCUCCUUUAGUUAAUACCUAAAGUGAGUGGACGUUACUCGCAGAAUAAGCACCGGCUAACUCUGUGCCAGCAGCCGCGGUAAUACAGAGGGUGCGAGCGUUAAUCGGAUUUACUGGGCGUAAAGCGUGCGUAGGCGGCUUUUUAAGUCGGAUGUGAAAUCCCUGAGCUUAACUUAGGAAUUGCAUUCGAUACUGGAAAGCUAGAGUAUGGGAGAGGAUGAUAGAAUUCCAGGUGUAGCGGUGAAAUGCGUAGAGAUCUGGAGGAAUACCGAUGGCGAAGGCAGCCAUCUGGCCUAAUACUGACGCUGAGGUACGAAAGCAUGGGGAGCAAACAGGAUUAGAUACCCUGGUAGUCCAUGCCGUAAACGAUGUCUACUAGCCGUUGGGGCCUUUGAGGCUUUAGUGGCGCAGCUAACGCGAUAAGUAGACCGCCUGGGGAGUACGGUCGCAAGACUAAAACUCAAAUGAAUUGACGGGGGCCCGCACAAGCGGUGGAGCAUGUGGUUUAAUUCGAUGCAACGCGAAGAACCUUACCUGGCCUUGACAUACUAAGAACUUUCCAGAGAUGGAUUGGUGCCUUCGGGAACUUAGAUACAGGUGCUGCAUGGCUGUCGUCAGCUCGUGUCGUGAGAUGUUGGGUUAAGUCCCGCAACGAGCGCAACCCUUUUCCUUAUUUGCCAGCGGGUAAUGCCGGGAACUUUAAGGAUACUGCCAGUGACAAACUGGAGGAAGGCGGGGACGACGUCAAGUCAUCAUGGCCCUUACGGCCAGGGCUACACACGUGCUACAAUGGUCGGUACAAAGGGUUGCUACCUCGCGAGAGGAUGCUAAUCUCAAAAAGCCGAUCGUAGUCCGGAUCGCAGUCUGCAACUCGACUGCGUGAAGUCGGAAUCGCUAGUAAUCGCGGAUCAGAAUGCCGCGGUGAAUACGUUCCCGGGCCUUGUACACACCGCCCGUCACACCAUGGGAGUUUGUUGCACCAGAAGUAGGUAGUCUAACCGCAAGGAGGACGCUUACCACGGUGUGGCAGAUGACUGGGGUGAAGUCGUAACAAGGUAGCCGUAGGGGAACCUGCGGCUGGAUCACCU